CCCGAGCCUCGACGUGGCAACCUGUAAACAGCACAGGCGGUGCGGGCGAGCGGCCGAGAUGCUGCAAGAGGCUCAGAGGGGCGAAGCCGCAUGCUCAGGAGCGGUCCGAGAAGGUGCCAUGCAGGCAGCCUUUGGAAUUGGAUGAGCAUUUGAGGUG
Molecule: long non-coding RNA, 157 nt
Organism: Gymnogyps californianus (California condor)
Lineage: Eukaryota; Metazoa; Chordata; Aves; Accipitriformes; Cathartidae
Exons: 3
Source: RefSeq, a predicted model, not a curated record